ACUUCAGCCACACAGUUAGGGGCACAAGAAUGGUUAAUAUACCUGCAAGACAAAUCAGAAAACUGAACAUGAAAACAAUGAGGAGCUUUCCCCUCUAAAGAAACUGAUGAUGUUUCUAUUCAUGUAGGAACAAAGCCCUCCUGUGAGUGUGGCGUCAAUCACGUGGUCAUUGUCCAUGCGGAACAUGUACACGCCUCGGUUCUAAAGAGAAGACAUGUUGUCAUCAGUGUGAUCUGAAGCUCCUUCACUCCACACUCAGUCUGUGCUGAAAGCACCCUGGUCACAUUCCUGGACCCUACCAAACACAGCUGAUACAUUUCUGACGGGUCAGUGUGAACAUCAGAUGGGGCAUUUGCAAAGCUGGGGUAUUAAUCUACGGUUACAUAUGGGCAAGUAACACUAGCUACAAAAGGUGAUGGUCAAGGGAAGAGACAAACAAGAGCUAUGUAAGAGUCUGCAGCUAUGGCUUCUGUUCACAACUGAGUACACAUGGCUGUGUUCUUCAGAUGUCUGUCGUAGUCAAUUUAUACAGUACCUGGGACUCAUAAAGCUUCUCUUUUCUGUUUGCAACUUCAUUUCGAAUAAUCGUUCCGAUGUACUCAAUGACCAUGGUGUGUUUUUCAAUGUCUCUAGCAGCAUACAGGCCCAGUCCCUAAACAGAAGGAAAAAAGGAUUGUAUGCAUUCCAAUACACCUGACAGACCUUUAUUCUCUUCAUAAAAAUGUACUGCCCUAGGAGUCUUAUCAAAAGCCAUAUCUAAGAUUUCACCUACAUUUGAAACAGGAUCUCACUAAGCUGUCCAGGCAGUCCUUGAACUUGUGGUCCUCCUGCCUCUGCCUCCUGAGUGGCUGAGAUGACAGAAAAUCUGAGUUGCUCAACACAUUGGAGCCUUAUUUGGCAGCUCAUACUGUCUAGACCAGUGCCUGGUAAACCUUGUAGUGUACUGUCUUAGAUGCAGUAGCAAACAAAGUUGUGGAAAAUAGCACAUUUAUAGAGUAUAUAAAUAAAUACAACAUUCAUAGAUGAUCUGCAUUUUCUUGCCCUAAUUUGGGUUUGUGCUUUUGAUUCUGAUCAAGGAAGAAACUGUGGAAAAAAGAGAAGAGAAAUUGUUAAGAACAAGUCUUGUUCAUGGUAUCUGCCAGAGGCCUACAUGUCACAGACUUAUCUUUAAAAAUAGGAAAAAGAAACUCACUCACGCAGUGUGAAUGGUUCCAGGUGUAACUCAGAUGUGAACCAGAAUAUAAAAAGGAUGUGGGUGCAGACCAAUAUUGUUUGGAUCAGUGUAAGCAAACAGUCCAAAUUGAUGCCUGUUCUGAGAACCUAAGGUACAGUAAUGGCAAUGGUUGCAAGAUCAAGUUUAGCACAGCAGGUUAUAUGUCAAAUGGCAUUAUGAUAAUAGGCUAUACAAUGAAAGGAAAUAAAAAUAAAAAUUGAAGUUUUUUGUAAAGAUAAAAAAAUUAGGAGAAUACAACCUACAGUGUGUGCAGAGUAAUGAUAUGAACAUGUAUGUUUGUCUAUAUAAAAAUAUAAAACCUUUGUAAGUAAAAAAGAUACAGCCGGGUGGUGGUGGUGGCGCAUGCCUUUAAUCCCAGCACUCUGAUUUCUGUGAGUUCCAGGCCAGGUUGGUGUACAGAGUGAGUUCCAGGACAGGCUCCAAAGCCACAGAGAAAUCCUGUCUUGAAAAAACCACCACCAACAAAAAAAGAUACUAGAGUUUCUGGAGAGUAUAAGAUAUUUCAUAUGGGAAAACACCUAACACUGCAAGCUGGCACAACCUGAAAGGGACAAAGGUGAUGAAAACAUGUAAUUCUCUCAGAAAGGCAAGUACAGACGCCAGUCAUGAGGAGACAGCUUCUCCAGGAGUCAGGAGCUGUAUCUAACUAAGACUCUGUCUGAGGCUCUGUGGUGAAAAACAUUUCUUCCUCUUCCAGAGAAACUUCUGGUCAAUUCCCAGGACCCACAUGGCUGCUUACAACAGUCUUUAAUUCCAGCUCAUAGGGUCCCAAUGCCCUCUGCUGGCCUCAUUGAACACACAUAUUCACAUAGUACACAUACCAACACAGAGACAUAUAAAUAAAAAUAAGAAUAAUUUUUCUAAAAAAAGAUCUCAGUGUUAGUCCAUACCUACCAACAUGUCAAAAUAUAAAAAGGUGGGAAUACCUACAAGAGAAAACUAGAAUAGAGUCAUAGACUGCAGAAAGAAACCAGUAAUUCUGGCCUUUUUGAAAUAUAUAUUACUAAGGUAAAAAAUAAAUAUAGUUUACACAGAAGCCUUACUUUUUGGAUUCUACUCCAGAUGACUGAAACUAAGUGUUAAGACACUGAUGGCAUAGCAUUGUUGUGACACACUGUCAAUAGCAGCUAAGACACUGAUGGCAUAGCUUUGUUGUGACACACUGUCAAUAGCAGUGCAAUCGCGCAGCCACAGUUCAUCAUCAUGAAGCAGCACAGGACUUAAUGAGAACACAAUGGAGGCCUCAGUUAAUGUAGAGACCUUGUGCGUUAGUGGGGGAAGUAAGUAUAGACAAUAUGAUUCUAUUUUUAUAAAUGUGCGUAUGUGUGUGUGUUCCUAAGACACAAGCACAGAAACAUGUAAGACAUCUACUACCGUCACCAUGGUAAACAAAGAAGUGAGCAAAGAGAAAAAUGAUAAAAGAAAAAUGACAGUUGAAACUCUGAAAGAUGACUCAAGUUGUGUCAAGGAAGAUGGCUCAGUGGAUAAAAGGGCUUACUGCAAAACAGUCUGACAAUCUAAGUUCAAUCACUGAAGCUCAUGUAAAGGUGGAAGGAGAGAACCGACCCCCAGAAUUUCUCUCUGACCUAUACAUGUACACCACGGCAUAUGCACACCCUCAUACAGGUCCAUCAUGACUUGAAGACAGAGUUGAGAUUCUAUCAAAACCAUUCCUCAAAAAACGGGAACAGGCACAGAAUGAACAAUCUAUCUAAAAUGCAAAUGAGGAGGAAAGCAACUGAAAGCAGCAGAGACAGGGCAGGGCACAACACACCCACAUAAUCUCAAAGACGGUCACAGCAGAGAGAAAGGAAUGUGAAACAAGACUUAGAACAAAAUGACAAGUGCCAAAAGCUCUUAGGUGGUUGCUGAAAAUUUGUAAGAAAAAUCAGUCAAUAAAGCAGAGGACAUUGCAGAAGAGCAAAACAAGGGAACCAAAAGAAGUAGGAAAAAAGCCACGAAGAAGGCAGAUGCUCAUCUAAGUCAUAAGACUGGCUGAGUCCCUCCAGAGUGGGUCUCGGGUGGGCAAGCCAGUUUGUCAGUUUAAGAACUCCUGGCUGAUGCUGAGAGUCUCCCGAGCUACACGUGGAGACCAAUAGUCGUUUCUGGUACAAACAUAGAGAAAGUAGAGGACAGGAAAGAAGAAAGAUGCUCAGGCUGAAGGUCCCCAAUGCUCUAGACUAAAAGGAUUCACCAAGAGAAGAACGUGAUAUGAAGAGGGCCUCCACUAGGCACAUUUGCAAAAUGUCUAAGAACAAGAAGAUUCUAGAAACUACCAGUAAGGAGGAAAGAGCUUGUACUAAACUCAUAAGACUCUGUACUGUACACAGCAACACUGGUUUUCGGGAAGAGGCUGGAACUUGGAGGAGGGCGGGGUGAAUUAACACGAUUUUAUGGCAGGAUGGAUCUGAGAAUACAUAUCCACUUAGGCACUGAUAUAGAUACUAUUCAACCACAAAAGGACAUUUACAAAAUUGGAGCUUUAUAAUUCCAUUCUGGGACAGGAGAGAUGUUGAUUAGACAUGUCAGUAUUAAGAUCAUAACACAGGAGGUAAGGACUACAUUUUAAUUUUAAAUGCUCACAUUUAGAUACUCCACUGUCUACCAGGAAUGUGCAGUGAUUUCAUGAAAAGGCAGUGCUCAAAAGCUGCAGUGUCACAUCAAAGUUUUUAGAGUAGCCUGGAACUCGUGGUGCUCCUGGCUCUACCUUCCAACUGCUGGCAUUUAUUUUUACUUUUCACAUGUGCUUGUAAAUAACCCUGCUGAGCUGUCAAAACUUGGUGCGUGCAAGAUCCAGUUUCCCCACAGUCUUUACCAACGUAUCAAGAUGUAAAUUCCUAAGGACUGCUGUCUACUCCAGGUCCAGCACCAAGUUCUCAGGCUACAAACCACAGUCCUCAUGCUGCAAACUGAAAAGGUGGAGCAAAGCUCUCAAAGCAAGAUUCCAAGGCUGGGAUUCGCUCAGUGGUAGAGCACUUCCUUAGUACACACAAAGCCCUGGGUUCAAAUCACAGAACCACAAAACAAACAAACUAAACAGGUCAAACAUUCCUCACCUGGAUCCGAGACCGGGCCAGAUACACAUUAGAUUUCCAUUCGGUCUUCAUUCUCCGGUACUGUGAUGACUUGGAGUGGACGAACUGCUUACUGUAGGGUGCGUUCAGCUCUCCAGUGACUGUGCUCUGAAAUGACUUUGAGGUGCUGGUGCUAUUCAAGGUGUGAGGCCUACAGAUGAUAAUGUGCCAACAAAAAAAUAAAAGGACAACUGAAGACACCUCUGAAUAGUGCAAAAGCCAAACAAGUUAAAGGCUGUAGUAGCAGAAACACACAGAAAGCGGUCUAGCAGAGACACAGUGCGUCUUCUGAAGUUGUCAGAAACAUACACAGCCAGAGACAGCAGGGUUUGUAAGCAGCAGACAGAUCAAGCACAAAACCCACUAAGGUGCCUAGAAACCCUGGGCUGUACUAUGUGAAGAUGAAACAAGAUACCUUAACACAAACCUCUUGACAUGGGCGCUCAUUUUAGGUUCAGAACGAGCACAACCUGUGGGGUUAACAGCAAGGGGUAGCUCCAUGAGAGGAUUUCGGCCAUAUCGGAAGGUGUAGUUUUCACACGCUUCAACCCCAGGUAGCUAAAAAAGAAGGAAAAUACGCAAAAAGGUAACUCAUCUGGCCAAAGAUAUAAUCUUCAACUUGCCAAAAAGAUGGCCAUGUUUUCUUCCCUUUUGUGAUCUAUUAAAUAUAAUGAGCCUGCAUGCAUAACUUUUUUUUGGGGGGGGGGGGUUGAGACAGGGUUUCUCUGUGGCUUUGGAGGCUGUCCUGGAACUAGCUCUUGUAAACCAGGCUGGUCAUGAACUCACAGAGAUCCACCUGCCUCUGCCUCCCGAGUGCUGGGAUUAAAGGCAUGCGCCACCAAUGCCCGGCCAUGCAUAACUAUUUGAAUAAAUGUGUAAAUCCAAAUCCAAAGCAAAUUUGGUGAGCCCAGGCCACUUUUCUUUGAGAAGAAAAUUAAUUCUCAGAGCCAUUAAUACACCAUCCAAUGCCCUCCUGCAUGUGAAUCGGGAUCUGAUGUUUUAGUUUAGUUUAGUUCACAACCUAGUGAACGUAUUUGUCUAGAUGUUUAAAACUCUCAAGUAAUGGAGUCACCUAUGUGCUUUAGUUUCACUUCUGUCAAAUGGGAUCGUGAAAUGAGGCGUCACUCUCACUGUUCUAGCAGUAUUGGUGGUAAAUAAAGAUUUACCAGAAAACUAA
Non-coding RNA from Cricetulus griseus (Chinese hamster), 5485 nucleotides. The record is from RefSeq and is a predicted model, not a curated record. Lineage: Eukaryota; Metazoa; Chordata; Mammalia; Rodentia; Cricetidae.